Gadus chalcogrammus (walleye pollock) is the source of this 2317-nucleotide long non-coding RNA. RefSeq lists it as uncharacterized. The record is from RefSeq and is a predicted model, not a curated record. The transcript is spliced from 3 exons. NCBI's taxonomy places the organism in Eukaryota, Metazoa, Chordata, Actinopteri, Gadiformes, Gadidae.
UUAAAAAAAUAGAGGCUGCGUGUGAUUUCAGUUCCGGUUCAAUGCAUUUGUAAUGAGGGGGCGCACUUCUGUGCAGUGUGCACAUUAGUCGUCGUUGCCAGCAGGCUGCACCCGACAGCCAAGGGAUUUACAUGUGGCAUAGCAAGUCUCUGAAGCAGUGUCUCACACUCGAGUCCUGACCGAGGGCCUUGAAACUGGCAUGCCUGUUCAAAACAUCUCCAGGACAACAAGAAGAUGAAGGAGAAUGCGUGCAGUGGGCUGAAUAGAGAAUUCGUGAAUCAAAGGCAACACCAUCAAAUGCAUUAUGAAAUUAAGCACUAUCAGGUUGUCAAGGCUGUAGCUCAGCGGGCACAUGGUCCUGGAUACCUGAUAUAUAUAUAUUUUUUUUAACUAUUUAUAUAUGGAAUCUGAAUGCACUCCAAGAAAUGCUGCAGUUCUUUGUGCCACAAGAGGCCAAGAAGCUCUACUACAAGAAGUUAAGGCAGAAGAUGAAGAUUAUUACAAAUUAUCCAAGUCAGUUCCGACCAAGUAAUUUGAUUGGACAAGAGGCAUUCCAGUGCUGAUAUAGAGUAUAACAGCACUGGGUCUUUUAACUAUACACGUAUCGCUCCCCUUUACGGGUGUUCUCAUAACCGUUAAUGUUAUUAACAAUCUUUUUGUAGCUUAGAUUGCAGCUAACUUUGCACAGCAAAUAUGAACAUGUUUCCAGGAAUAACAUUGGAGUUGAAUUAAGAAUGGUCGCCAGAAGAGGACCAAGGGAACCUAAUGUAAUGCUAAUGUGUUAAUGUGUUGCUUGGCAACAGUUUGACCAGUUGCGGAUCUAUUUGUGUUGGCGGAGCCAAAUAAAUCAUCAAUGAACCAAAGAAAUCUGAUCAUAAUAUGUUGUUAAUUAUUAUUGUUAACUAAUGAUUGGUGCUUGUAGAACUGUUGUAUAAAAGCAAUAUCACUCAGGAGGGAGUGCUUUUGUACUACGGCUGGGAUUCGGUCGUAGGUAUGAGGCCGUUGGCCGAGUGCCGAAGAGAAUCACAGCCGUGCUGAUAUUCAGUACAACAGCACUCUCGUGUGAUAUUGCUUAAUUAUUCUGUUCCCAAAUUCCAUAAAAAGUCUGAUUACUAAGAAAUAUUGAUGUAUCAUUACUUUUGUCAGUUUCAAGUUUUUGUUUUAACACAGGUGUACCAACAAUGUGUAUGAUGUAUGACUACCUAAGCUGUACAUGUCUUUAAAGAUAUUGAUGCAGAUAUUUCCACAUUUACAUUUCUCAGUGCAAAUGGGUUUUUGAAUAAGUUUCUGAAACUAGUGCUUUGAGAUGUUUGAGAUAACAAACAUUUAAUAUGUUGGAAAUAUUUUUGGUCGCUGGUCAGCUUAAUAUUUAAUAUAUUGUUUCUUAUGGCACAUUAACGAGAAUGUCAAACUGGCACUGAAUGUUGAAAGGUUGCUGACCCCUGGUUACUGUAUUCCCUCUCCCGCUCCAUUACAUGUAUGUUCGUUUAUUUCAAGUUAACUUGUUUUUCUGUGUUAUUACAACCUUGCAACACAUUUCCAUUAAUGUAGUUUGUUUAUUCAAAUGGGUAUUAAAACCUUAAUCUUUGUCAAGCCAAACUCUUGAGUAAUUAUUUCAAAGAAUAGGGGCGUGGAAAUCAAUGAGGUAAGUGGGUUUUGGGGCUUAUCUUAUGACUAACUUUGGAUCUGAACUAAUGUGAAUUGUGAUAGAUCUCAUGGUGUUUACAUCGCUUUACUAGGAUUUCUAAAUUGCAGCUUCUGUGUUUUAACCCCUCUCAAAUGCUACUGUUGUAAUGGGGUUUUCUUAACCAGUGAUCUUUAUUGCACUUGUGAAAGCUGUUUGUGUGAGCUGUUUGUGUGAGGUUUUAAAUCAGGCUUGGGCCUAUAAAAAAAUAGUUAAUAAAUCAGUUUAUUUAUUUAUUAUUAAUAGAACGGGCCAGGCUCGGACAGAACAGAGAGCUAAAAUCCUAAAUUCAAUAAACUGUCAGUUGAGCUGGACGAGCCACGGUGUUCUGGAACACAGCGCUCAGUUCUGAUCUCUCUCCACUAUCGGGACUCCAUCACUCAUUUCACUCAGUAACUCUAAUGUUGUAAGGUAUUUAUCUUCAUCUCUUAUCUAUUGUACUACGGGGAACUAUGCAGGCUAACCCUAUAUAUAUGGACACCUGCUAAGUUGUUCCACUCAAAUAGAGUAGGCCUACUAAAGUGAAAACGUUACGUUGUCCUGGCAACCGGGUUUUCAGUUCUAAACAACCGAACGAGAGAUGGCGUUCUCCAUGGGUGUGUUCGAAAUGACUUACUAAUUACUACUUACUAC